RNAcentral lists this ribosomal RNA (301 nucleotides) under uncultured bacterium. RNAcentral describes it as "partial 16S ribosomal RNA". It matches the Rfam family "Bacterial small subunit ribosomal RNA", at positions 509 to 809 of the family's 1533-position model. The record is from RNAcentral.
CAGUCGCCGCGGGAAUACGGAGGGUGCAAGCGUUAAUCGGAAUUACUGGGCGUAAAGCGCACGCAGGCGGUCUGUUAAGUCAGAUGUGAAAUCCCCGGGCUUAACCUGGGAACUGCAUUUGAAACUGGCAGGCUAGAGUCUUGUAGAGGGGGGUAGAAUUCCAGGUGUAGCGGUGAAAUGCGUAGAGAUCUGGAGGAAUACCGGUGGCGAAGGCGGCCCCCUGGACAAAGACUGACGCUCAGGUGCGAAAGCGUGGGGAGCAAACAGGAUUAGAUACCCCAGUAGUCCCUGUCUCUUAUAA